AAGAAGAACUGUUGGGUCCCAAGGAAUUUUUUUUUAAGGGUUAAUUGCAUGUAUGUUCCUGCAAACAGGAUGGAUUGCAGAUAUAUUCCUACAAAGCUCAACUUUCAUAAAUUAUUCCUACAAAUGUCAUAAUGUAUUCAGAUAUAUUUCUGAUGUUAGAAUCCGUUAGAAAUAUUUAGUUAACCACGGUUAAAAUACUUAAUCAUAAUUGAUUAAUAAAGUAAAUUGACAAUUUUGUCAUUCUUCCUCUUCCUCUUCAUCUUCCCUCUUCCUCUUUCUCUUCUUCUUCUUCUUCCUCCUUUUCUUGCCCUUCUUCCUCCUUUUCCUUUUCCUCCUCUUUCUUCGAAUCGGUAGCACCUUCGCUCUCCGCCUCGUCGUUGCGAGCCUCAGCCUCAUCCUCGUCGGCCGCAACUCCGACAAGCUCCGCAACGUCGCCGCCGCCGCCGUCGCCACCGCCCGCUCCGGUAGCCUGAAAAGGAAGAGAAAAGGGAAAAGAAACAUUUGUGAGGGCAUUUUUGCAAACAUAUACCAGUUGGAGCUUUUGAAGGGACAUAUUUGUGAGGAUAAAAAUGUCAUUUCACAAAUACACCGUUAAAAAAUUAACAGUUCUCUAACGGAUCCUAACCAGAGAGACAUAUCUGAAUACAUUAGGACUUUUGCAGGAAUAACUUAUGAAAAUUACCAACCGUUCCUAGAGCAAGUGGCAAAGAGCUUGGUGGUUGGUACUCGAGACCCAAAUUCGAAUUCUAGUUUAUUCACAUUUCUAGCUAAGUUUAUUUCUAAAUGAAAUAAACGAAGCGAGUAACGUGCUACCUAUCUCUAAAAAAAAAAAUUUAUGAAAAUUGAACUUUGUAGGAAUAUAUAUCUAUAAUUUACUACGUUUGCGGAAACAUGUAUGUAAUUAAUUAACCCUUUUUUAAAAUACAACACUUAUAUUACUAAUGUGAUAAUCACAAUCAAUCAAAAUACUUUUUCUAUAAUUUGCUCAUCACAUAAUAUUUUUUAAAAAAAUAUUUGAACUGAUUAAAAAUAUUAUAUCAGUAAUAUAAGUGUUAUAUUAUAAUUUAUUAUUAUUAUUAUCGUUGGAGGGGGGUUUUAAUUAGAAGAGUUUGUAAUUAAG
Molecule: long non-coding RNA, 1120 nt
Filed under: Ananas comosus (pineapple)
Lineage: Eukaryota; Viridiplantae; Streptophyta; Magnoliopsida; Poales; Bromeliaceae
Description: long non-coding RNA (ACOM_LNC025257)
Source: RNAcentral